Molecule: ribosomal RNA, 216 nt
Filed under: Glomeromycotina sp.
Lineage: Eukaryota; Fungi; Glomeromycota
Description: partial small subunit ribosomal RNA
Rfam family: Eukaryotic small subunit ribosomal RNA (bases 40-216)
Source: RNAcentral
GGGUCAGUAGGUUGGUCGUGCCACAGGUACGUACUGGUCUCACUGAUUCCUCCUUCCUGAAGAACCGUAAUGCCAUUAAUUUGGUGUUGCGGGGAAACAGGACUGUUACUUUGAAAAAAUUAGAGUGUUUAAAGCAAGCUAACGCUUGAAUACUUUAGCAUGGAAUAAUGAAAUAGGACGAUCGAUCCUAUUUUGUUGGUUUCUAGGAUUGACGUA